Molecule: ribosomal RNA, 485 nt
Filed under: uncultured bacterium
Lineage: Bacteria
Description: bacterial SSU rRNA
Rfam family: Bacterial small subunit ribosomal RNA
Source: RNAcentral
AACGAACGCUGGCGGCGCGCCUAACACAUGCAAGUCGAACGAGAGUCCGGGGCAACCCGGUAGUAAAGUGGCAAACGGGUGAGGAAUACAUGGGUAACCUACCCUUGAGAAGGGAAUAACCCGCCGAAAGGUGAGCUAAUACCCUAUACGCUAUCUUUUUUUCGAAAAGGAUAGGAAAGCCGGGUCGAGGACCUGGUACUCAAGGAGGGGCUCAUGUCCUAUCAGCUUGUUGGUGGGGUAACGGCCUACCAAGGCUACGACGGGUAGCUGGUCUGAGAGGAUGAUCAGCCACACUGGCACUGAGAUACGGGCCAGACUCCUACGGGAGGCAGCAGUGAGGAAUAUUGCGCAAUGGGCGAAAGCCUGACGCAGCGACGCCGCGUGGGGGAUGAAGGUUUUCGGAUUGUAAACCCCUUUCAUGAGGAAAGAUAAAGUGGGUAACCACUUAGACGGUACCUCAAGAAGAAGUCACGGCUAACUUCGUG